This 1588-nucleotide ribosomal RNA is filed under the name Salmonella enterica subsp. enterica serovar Johannesburg. RNAcentral's name for it is "partial 23S ribosomal RNA". It matches the Rfam family "Bacterial large subunit ribosomal RNA", at positions 636 to 2207 of the family's 2925-position model. Lineage: Bacteria; Pseudomonadati; Pseudomonadota; Gammaproteobacteria; Enterobacterales; Enterobacteriaceae. The record is from RNAcentral.
UGUAGCAAGGUUAACCGAAUAGGGGAGCCGGAGGGAAACCGAGUCUUAACCGGGCGUUAAGUUGCAGGGUAUAGACCCGAAACCCGGUGAUCUAGCCAUGGGCAGGUUGAAGGUUGGGUAACACUAACUGGAGGACCGAACCGACUAAUGUUGAAAAAUUAGCGGAUGACCUGUGGCUGGGGGUGAAAGGCCAAUCAAACCGGGAGAUAGCUGGUUCUCCCCGAAAGCUAUUUAGGUAGCGCCUCGUGAAUUCAUCUCCGGGGGUAGAGCACUGUUUCGGCUAGGGGGCCAUCCCGGCUUACCAACCCGAUGCAAACUGCGAAUACCGGAGAAUGUUAUCACGGGAGACACACGGCGGGUGCUAACGUCCGUCGUGAAGAGGGAAACAACCCAGACCGCCAGCUAAGGUCCCAAAGUCAUGGUUAAGUGGGAAACGAUGUGGGAAGGCCCAGACAGCCAGGAUGUUGGCUUAGAAGCAGCCAUCAUUUAAAGAAAGCGUAAUAGCUCACUGGUCGAGUCGGCCUGCGCGGAAGAUGUAACGGGGCUAAACCAUGCACCGAAGCUGCGGCAGCGACGCUGAUGCGUUGUUGGGUAGGGGAGCGUUCUGUAAGCCUGCGAAGGUGUGUCGUGAGGCAUGCUGGAGGUAUCAGAAGUGCGAAUGCUGACAUAAGUAACGAUAAAGCGGGUGAAAAGCCCGCUCGCCGGAAGACCAAGGGUUCCUGUCCAACGUUAAUCGGGGCAGGGUGAGUCGACCCCUAAGGCGAGGCCGAAAGGCGUAGUCGAUGGGAAACGGGUUAAUAUUCCCGUACUUGGUGUUACUGCGAAGGGGGGACGGAGAAGGCUAUGUUGGCCGGGCGACGGUUGUCCCGGUUUAAGCGUGUAGGUGUGUGUUCCAGGUAAAUCCGGUUCACUUUAACACUGAGGCGUGAUGACGAGGCACUACGGUGCUGAAGCAACAAAUGCCCUGCUUCCAGGAAAAGCCUCUAAGCAUCAGGUAACAUCAAAUCGUACCCCAAACCGACACAGGUGGUCAGGUAGAGAAUACCAAGGCGCUUGAGAGAACUCGGGUGAAGGAACUAGGCAAAAUGGUGCCGUAACUUCGGGAGAAGGCACGCUGACACGUAGGUGAAGUGAUUUACUCAUGGAGCUGAAGUCAGUCGAAGAUACCAGCUGGCUGCAACUGUUUAUUAAAAACACAGCACUGUGCAAACACGAAAGUGGACGUAUACGGUGUGACGCCUGCCCGGUGCCGGAAGGUUAAUUGAUGGGGUCAGCGCAAGCGAAGCUCCUGAUCGAAGCCCCGGUAAACGGCGGCCGUAACUAUAACGGUCCUAAGGUAGCGAAAUUCCUUGUCGGGUAAGUUCCGACCUGCACGAAUGGCGUAAUGAUGGCCAGGCUGUCUCCACCCGAGACUCAGUGAAAUUGAACUCGCUGUGAAGAUGCAGUGUACCCGCGGCAAGACGGAAAGACCCCGUGAACCUUUACUAUAGCUUGACACUGAACAUUGAGCCUUGAUGUGUAGGAUAGGUGGGAGGCUUUGAAGUGUGGACGCCAGUCUGCAUGGAGCCGGCCUUGAAAUACCACCCUU